CUACGGGGCGCUGCAGUGAGGAAUAUUGCACAAUGGGGGGAACCCUGAUGCAGCAACGCCGCGUGGAGGAUGACGCAUUUCGGUGUGUAAACUCCUUUUAUAUGUCAAGAAAAUGACGGUAGCAUAUGAAUAAGCACCGGCUAACUCCGUGCCAGCAGCCGCGGUAAUACGGAGGGUGCAAGCGUUACUCGGAAUCACGGGGCGUAAAGGACGCGUAGGCGGGUUGGAAAGUCAGGUGUGAAAUCCUACAGCUUAACUGUAGAACUGCACUUGAAACUUCUAAUCUAGAGUAUGGGAGGGGAGAUGGAAUUAGUGGUGUAGGGGUAAAAUCCGUAGAUAUCACUAGGAAUACCUAAAGCGAAGGCGAUCUCCUGGAACAUUACUGACGCUAAGGCGUGAAAGCGUGGGGAGCAAACAGGAUUAGAUACCCUCGUAGUC
This 438-nucleotide ribosomal RNA is filed under the name uncultured bacterium. RNAcentral describes it as "partial 16S ribosomal RNA". It matches the Rfam family "Bacterial small subunit ribosomal RNA", at positions 339 to 795 of the family's 1533-position model. The record is from RNAcentral.